Molecule: ribosomal RNA, 205 nt
Filed under: uncultured Streptomyces sp.
Lineage: Bacteria; Bacillati; Actinomycetota; Actinomycetes; Kitasatosporales; Streptomycetaceae
Description: partial 16S ribosomal RNA
Rfam family: Bacterial small subunit ribosomal RNA
Source: RNAcentral
AGGGAUGACGGCCUUCGGGUUGUAAACCUCUUUCAGCAGGGAAGAAGCUUUCGGGUGACGGUACCUGCAGAAGAAGCACCGGCUAACUACGUGCCAGCAGCCGCGGUAAUACGUAGGGUGCGAGCGUUGUCCGGAAUUAUUGGGCGUAAAGAGCUCGUAGGCGGCUUGUCACGUCGGUUGUGAAAGCCCGGGGCUUAACCCCGGG